GACGAACGCUGGCGGCGUGCUUAACACAUGCAAGUCGAACGGAAAGGCCUUGCUUUUGUGGGGUGCUCGAGUGGCGAACGGGUGAGUAACACGUGAGUAACCUGCCCUUGACUUUGGGAUAACUUCAGGAAACUGGGGCUAAUACCGGAUAGGAGCUCCUGCUGCAUGGUGGGGGUUGGAAAGUUUCGGCGGUUGGGGAUGGACUCGCGGCUUAUCAGCUUGUUGGUGGGGUAGUGGCUUACCAAGGCUUUGACGGGUAGCCGGCCUGAGAGGGUGACCGGCAAAAGUAGAACUGAGAUACGGCCCAGACUCCUACGGGAGGCAGCAGUGGGGAAUAUUGCACAAUGGGCGGAAGCCUGAUGCAGCAACGCCGCGUGCGGGAUGACGGCCUUCGGGUUGUAAGCCGCUUUCGCCUGUGACGAAGCGUGAGUGACGGUAAUGGGUAAAGAAGCACCGGCUAACUACGUG
Molecule: ribosomal RNA, 468 nt
Filed under: uncultured bacterium
Lineage: Bacteria
Description: partial 16S ribosomal RNA
Rfam family: Bacterial small subunit ribosomal RNA
Source: RNAcentral